This 241-nucleotide long non-coding RNA is filed under the name Carica papaya (papaya). Its description in RNAcentral is "long non-coding RNA (CPAP_LNC000959)". Lineage: Eukaryota; Viridiplantae; Streptophyta; Magnoliopsida; Brassicales; Caricaceae. The record is from RNAcentral.
CAGAGGUCACUCUGCUAUUUUAAAAAAAUAGGUCACGUAGAUUGCGGACUUAGUAGUGCAACCAACUAGAUUGCACCGCAUGACAACUGUGUUAGGCAAAUCUAGCACGAAUUCAAACAAGUGGGAGACGUGUGUGUAUGAUGAUUCGACGGCCUAUGUUUAAGAUGUCGAUCCAACGGUGGAAGUGUAAAUGUCGUUCCAAUAGCUCCAAGGCCCAGAAGGGGAAAUUAUGGUGAUCGUG